RNAcentral lists this ribosomal RNA (459 nucleotides) under uncultured bacterium. RNAcentral describes it as "partial 16S ribosomal RNA". It matches the Rfam family "Bacterial small subunit ribosomal RNA", at positions 29 to 507 of the family's 1533-position model. The record is from RNAcentral.
AACGAACGCUGGCGGCAUGCCUAACACAUGCAAGUCGAACGAGACCUUCGGGUGUAGUGGCGAACGGGUGCGUAACGCGUCGGAACCGUCCCUUAUGUUCGGAAUAACUCUCCGAAAGGGGUGCUAAUACCGGAUAAUUUCUUCUGACCAAAGAUAUAUCGCCUUUGGAUGGGCCCGCGUUGGAUUAGCUAUUUGGUGGGGUAAAAGCGUACCAAGGCGACGAUCGGUAGCUGGUCUGAGAGGAUGAUAAGCAACAUUGGGACGGGGACACGGCCCAGACCCCUUGGGGUGGCGCCAGGGCGGAAUCUCCGGCGAAGGGCGGAAGUGUGAACGAUCGACGACGGGCGAGAGCCUGAUCCAGCCGUGCCGCGUAAGUGUUGAAGGAGUUAGGAUUGUAAAGCUCUGUUAACCGCGAUGAUAGUGACGGUACCGGGAGAAAAAGCUCCGGCUAACUCCGUG